RNAcentral lists this transfer RNA (74 nucleotides) under bacterium. RNAcentral's name for it is "tRNA-Met". It matches the Rfam family "tRNA". Rfam says of the family: Transfer RNA (tRNA) molecules are approximately 80 nucleotides in length. Their secondary structure includes four short double-helical elements and three loops (D, anti-codon, and T loops). The record is from RNAcentral. RNAcentral also lists the same sequence under 4 other names.
GGGCCCGUAGCUUAGUUUGGUAGAGCGCUCGGCUCAUAACCGAGUGGUCGUGGGUUCAAAUCCCGUCGGGCCCA